RNAcentral lists this ribosomal RNA (301 nucleotides) under uncultured bacterium. Its description in RNAcentral is "partial 16S ribosomal RNA". It matches the Rfam family "Bacterial small subunit ribosomal RNA", at positions 509 to 807 of the family's 1533-position model. The record is from RNAcentral.
CAGUAGCCGCGGUAACACGGAGGGGGCUAGCGUUGUUCGGAAUUACUGGGCGUAAAGCGCACGUAGGCGGCUUGGUAAGUUAGAGGUGAAAGCCUGGAGCUCAACUCCAGAAUUGCCUUUAAGACUGCCGAGCUAGCAGGUGAGAGAGGUGAGUGGAAUUCCGAGUGUAGAGGUGAAAUUCGUAGAUAUUCGGAAGAACACCAGUGGCGAAGGCGGCUCACUGGCUCAUACUGGACGCUGAGGUGCGAAAGCGUGGGGAGCAAACAGGAUUAGAUACCCCUGUAGUCCCUGUCUCUUAUAC